GGUCUCUACAACGCCAAGAUCUAACUAAGCUUUAAAAGGUCAAGAAGUUUUAUGGCUGACAAAGGACUCGCGCAACGCAGAAGGCCUUUCCCACCUUAAGCUUCCGGGGAUCUGGGAAUUUUACCCCCAUUCUCUUCUGUUUGUCUGAGUCUCAUCUCUCUGCAAGCAAGGGCUGAAAUCAUUUUGUUUGGGAUAGCUGGGAGUAUGGCCACCCUGCUCCACGAUGCGGUAAUGAAUCCAGCAGAAGUGGUGAAGCAGCGCUUGCAGAUGUACAACUCGCAGCACCGGUCAGCAAUCAGCUGCAUCCGGACGGUGUGGAGGACCGAGGGGUUGGGGGCCUUCUACCGGAGCUACACCACGCAGCUGACCAUGAACAUCCCCUUCCAGUCCAUCCACUUCAUCACCUACGAGUUCCUGCAGGAGCAGGUCAACCCCCACCGGACCUACAACCCGCAGUCCCACAUCAUCUCAGGCGGGCUGGCCGGGGCCCUCGCCGCGGCCGC
RNAcentral lists this small RNA (503 nucleotides) under Pan troglodytes (chimpanzee). RNAcentral describes it as "processed transcript". Lineage: Eukaryota; Metazoa; Chordata; Mammalia; Primates; Hominidae. The record is from RNAcentral.